This 459-nucleotide ribosomal RNA is filed under the name uncultured bacterium. RNAcentral describes it as "bacterial SSU rRNA". It matches the Rfam family "Bacterial small subunit ribosomal RNA", at positions 97 to 591 of the family's 1533-position model. The record is from RNAcentral.
GGCGAAAGGGCGAGGAAUAGAUUCCUACGUUACCCCGGAGUCAGGGAUAACCAUCGGAAACGGUGGCUAACACNUGAUGACCUCGAAAGAGCAAAGUUUACGCUCUGGGAGCGGGGAAUCUCCUAUCAGCUAGUUGGUGAGGUAACGGCUCACCAAGGCUAAGACGGGUAGCGGGUGUGAGAGCACGGCCCGCCGCAUCGGGACUGAGACACUGCCCGGACUCCUACGGGAGGCUGCAGUAACGAAUCUUCCGCAAUGCACGAAAGUGUGACGGGGCAAUGCCGCGUGUGGGAUGAAGCCCUUCGGGGUGUAAACCACUGUCAGGGUCUAGGAACACAAUGACCAUACCCAAAGGAAGCACCGGCUAACUCUGUGCCAGCAGCCGCGGUAAUACAGAGGGUGCGAGCGUUAAUCGGAAUCACUGGGCUUAAAGGGUCCGUAGGCGGGACUGCAGGCGUC